Molecule: transfer RNA, 73 nt
Filed under: Cordylochernes scorpioides
Lineage: Eukaryota; Metazoa; Arthropoda; Arachnida; Pseudoscorpiones; Chernetidae
Description: tRNA-Phe
Rfam family: tRNA
About the family: Transfer RNA (tRNA) molecules are approximately 80 nucleotides in length.
Source: RNAcentral
ACCGAAAGAGCUCAGUUGUGAGAGCGUUAGACUGAAGAUCUAUAGGUCCCUAGUUCAACCCCGGGUUUCGGCA